AGUCAAGACAAAAAUGUUAAUUCCCUUAAAUCUCGUCGGGGGCCUAAUUUGGACGAAAAACUAUUUCAAAGUUGGAAAAAAACCGGAAAGACAAUUGUGAGAUUCCAACGAUUAUGCAAAUUUAACCACCUAAUAAAUAACGAUCAACUUCCGGUCGUCUGGAGAGCUUCGAAAAAUAAUAAAAAGUGGAAUUCCGAAAGAGAAGAAAAUCAAAACAGCCGACGGCAGGACGAAUUGACAAGGAACAAGAGAGGCCAGGGUGUCAUUAGCCUCUCUGAAAAUGUUGAGCAGCGCCCGUGAUUUUAGUUUUUUCUUUUCUUGUUUGUUGCUGGCAGAGGAUGAGGUACAAUGCGCCUAACGGAAUGCAAAGCUCAGCUGCCGUGUGUUAUGCAACAGGGCUCCUCCCUCUUUCCCCUCUAUAGGUGUGUGUGUGCACACGUACCCAGCGCCGUCGUUGAUGACGUCACGGAUGGGUCGUUGUGACGCCUAAAUUCUACUACCUACUCGAUGGGUUGUGUGUGUGUGUGUGUUGUGUACACACUGUGAAAGCGCACGCGCGUUCAUUGACCAGGUCGUUCGAUGCCCGAGAUUCUUUUCCCUCCCGACGCUCGUGAUUCCUUUUGCAAUCAAAACAAAACACACGCAACCGAAACAGAAAAGAAGCGUUUUAGAUUAUAUCUAUACCUGUGGCCAAAGUCGUUUUUGACGUGCAUUAUUCUUGACGUUUUCGAAUGGCAAUUCCACUUCACGACUAAAAAUGUUUUUAAAAAAUCACUCGGAACACAAAUCGAUGCAAGUUAAAUUUUUUUUCAAAUGCGGAGAAAGAAGAAAAACGUGUUGAAUUUGUAGAACUGGAGAAACACGUUGAAAAUGCACAGUCUGACGACGAGAGAGAGCAGCAGAAAGAGAAGCAACGGGCGAUGUCGGCCGACCGGAGGCGACUGAAAGAUCACUGACUCGCUCCUCGUCGCUAUAUACGGUGCAAACAACACGGCACAACCACGAAGGGCGGAGUGGAAAAAGAAGACCAUCAAGAAGAAGAAGAAGAAACAACAGUAAUUUUUGUCUUUUCAAUUCCUUUUUUUUUUCCAAGAGUUCGUCAGCAGCGAAAGUGGCCGAUAGGACAUCGACCGAAAACUGGUCGGGAUAUAUCUCUUUCUGGUGAGGUGGUGGUGGUGGUGGUGGUGGGGGAAAUGAAAACUGUUAUAGCUAAAAGCUGGCACAAGUGCGUAGAACUGUACCGUUGAUUAUGUGACCGUCGAUCCGCCGCGGCUAUCCCGUUUUCUUUCUAUUAUCAAGAUAGGAUAUAACACAAAAGAAAAAGACGAUUGAGUACCUACUAUCACACUCGAUCGAAAAAUUCAUUGCCUCGUGAAUGGAAGCGCAUUGAACUCGAAUCAAUCCGGAUUUUGGCUUUAUCGCCGAUUUUACCUGGUUCA
Molecule: long non-coding RNA, 1439 nt
Organism: Daphnia pulicaria
Lineage: Eukaryota; Metazoa; Arthropoda; Branchiopoda; Diplostraca; Daphniidae
Exons: 4
Source: RefSeq, a predicted model, not a curated record